This 376-nucleotide ribosomal RNA is filed under the name uncultured bacterium. RNAcentral describes it as "bacterial SSU rRNA". It matches the Rfam family "Bacterial small subunit ribosomal RNA", at positions 27 to 404 of the family's 1533-position model. The record is from RNAcentral.
GGACGAACGCUGGCGGCGUGCUUAACACAUGCAAGUCGAGCGGUAAGGCCCUUUCGGGGUACACGAGCGGCGAACGGGUGAGUAACACGUGGGUGACCUGCCCUCAGCUCUGGGAUAAGCCCUGGGAAACCGGGUCUAAUACUGGAUAUGACUCCAUGACGCAUGUUGUGGGGUGGAAAGCCUUGUGCGGCUGAGGAUGGGCCCGCGGCCUAUCAGCUUGUUGGUGGGGUGANGGCCUACCAAGGCGACGACGGGUANCCGGCCUGAGAGGGCGACCGGCCACACUGGGACUGAGACACGGCCCAGACUCCUACGGGAGGCAGCAGUGGGGAAUCUUGCGCAAUGGGCGAAAGCCUGACGCAGCGACGCCGCGUGA